This is a long non-coding RNA of Gasterosteus aculeatus aculeatus (three-spined stickleback), 1372 nucleotides long. NCBI's taxonomy places the organism in Eukaryota, Metazoa, Chordata, Actinopteri, Perciformes, Gasterosteidae. The record is from Ensembl.
AUUUUCCUGGUCCUCCUGGCGAGUCAAUAAUCCAAUGCUUUUUAUUCAUUCUGUCAAUCUGAUCCGACGACAAUAAAGGAGUGAAUUGAUUAACUGGUAAAAAGCCAACUCAGUUUUACACUCCCUCCUUUUGGUGGCGCCAACGCGUCCGGCCUCUCCAGAUUAAUCGGAUCCAGAGUCCUAAAUCCCGCCAUUCAUCACAAGCAGGCGCGAUGCCGUCAUUGUUUCUGACAUUGUUCCUUUCUAUCUUUAGGCCUCCAGCGAUUGAAGCUGCUCGCUCACGGCUUGACCUCACAGAUUUGGUUCAGCCGCACGCCGCCUUUUUUCUUUUUUUUCUUGCGUGAGCUACAAUCCGCUAGUGACUUGCUUCCUGCCACCCUCCCAUCCUGUAACACUGGCUCCAGGAAGACAAACUAUUCAUCCAGUACCUCAAAGGUUUCCUAUCACAUCAGAUAAACACAUGCUCUGAACUGCCACUUUAUUGGGAACACCGAUCUCUGGACCCUUCAGAGCAGCUGUUACGUCCUUAACUGCAUCACGUAUACUGCCGUGUUCAGCACUGCAUGUACGAGACGUACGAGACAAAGACGGUGCACCAAACAUCCUACUCGUGGAUUUUCACUGGAGGCCGCUGAAACACUGACGUUGUUGUGUGUUGGCUGCAUCUUUCAUCGGUAAUCAGCUUAGCUCGCUGACAGGUUACCUUUGGUGAGUGUAUAUAUAGAAGACGAGAUCCUCUUAGAGGAAGCUGGGAUUUGGGGAUUGGCGGCCCGUCAGCUACGGUGCUGCUUCCACGUCAGCUUCCUUCAUGCAGAGAAACACGCGUUUAUACCAGCAGCUCAGCUUAUGCCACCAAGAGACAAGACAAGCAGAGCCCGCUCUGUUUCCCUGCAAUCAUUUUUUCACCUCCCCGGCGCCCACGCUCUCUCUCUGCAGCCUCUCUGAAUAGCUUGUUGUGAGCUGCUCCAGAUAAGAGCUUCUGUUUAAUGAAAAAAAAUGUGCAACCGACAAUUCCUGCCUUUGUCUUUGUCCUUGUCACUGGUAUCAACAGUCAAGCUGAAACAUUGUCCAAAUUCUCUGAAGUGACAUCAUCCACCUGUGACAAAUAAUCUCCCUACAUGUCGUCUGAAAUACACCCGAUGCUGCUUUAUGCAGAAAAAUAUCUACUAAAUAUUUGAGCUUUUUUUAAUCAAUAAGCUGACUUGAAGGACAUGUGUGUUUCCGCAUGCAUUGCUCUGUUAUGACCUGACAGUUACUUUAUCACUAAGAAUAAUUUUGCUGGAGAUGGGCAACCUGUGUCAGUCUGACACUCACAUUUCCUUUUAUCAUUUGAAGGGACAAGAGUUGUUGUGUUCAGGAGGUUAAAAGUUAC